GCCAGCGCGGUGGCACGUGCCUGUAGUCCCAACUACUCGGGAGGCUGAGGUGGGAGGAUCGCUUGAGCCCAGGAGUUCUGGGCUGUAGUGCGCUAUGCCGAUCGGGUGUCCGCACUAAGUUCGGCAUCAAUAUGGUCACCUCUCCGGAGCAGCGGACCACCAGGUUGCCUAAGGAGGGGUGAACCGGCCCAGGUCGGAAACGGAGCAGGUCAAAACUCCCAUGCUGAUUAGUAGUGGGAAUGCGCCUGUGAAUAGCCACUGCACUCCAGCCUGGGCAACAUAGUGAGACCCAGUCUCU
Molecule: signal recognition particle RNA, 298 nt
Filed under: Saimiri boliviensis boliviensis (Bolivian squirrel monkey)
Lineage: Eukaryota; Metazoa; Chordata; Mammalia; Primates; Cebidae
Description: Metazoan signal recognition particle RNA (ENSSBOG00000001509.1)
Rfam family: Metazoan signal recognition particle RNA
About the family: The signal recognition particle (SRP) is a universally conserved ribonucleoprotein. It is involved in the co-translational targeting of proteins to membranes.
Source: RNAcentral